CCUACGGGAGGCUGCAGUGAGGAAUAUUGGUCAAUGGGCGCGAGCCUGAACCAGCCAAGUAGCGUGAAGGAUGACUGCCCUACGGGUUGUAAACUUCUUUUAUAAAGGAAUAAAGUGAGCCACGUGUGCCGUUUUGUAUGUACUUUAUGAAUAAGGAUCGGCUAACUCCGUGCCAGCAGCCGCGGUAAUACGGAGGAUCCGAGCGUUAUCCGGAUUUAUUGGGUUUAAAGGGAGCGUAGAUGGGUUGUUAAGUCAGUUGUGAAAGUUUGCGGCUCAACCGUAAAAGUGCAAUUGAUACUGGCAGCCUUGAGUACGGUUGAGGUAGGCGGAAUGCGUGGUGUAGCGGUGAAAUGCUUAGAUAUCACGAAGAACUCCGAUUGCGAAGGCAGCUUACUAACCUGCCACUGACAUUGAUGCUCGAAAGUGUGGGUAUCAAACAGGAUUAGAUACCCCUGUAGUC
Molecule: ribosomal RNA, 460 nt
Filed under: uncultured bacterium
Lineage: Bacteria
Description: partial 16S ribosomal RNA
Rfam family: Bacterial small subunit ribosomal RNA
Source: RNAcentral